This 72-nucleotide transfer RNA is filed under the name Problepsis superans. Its description in RNAcentral is "tRNA-Cys". Lineage: Eukaryota; Metazoa; Arthropoda; Insecta; Lepidoptera; Geometridae. The record is from RNAcentral.
GGUCUUAUAGUCAAAUAAUGAUAUAAAAUUGCAAAUUUUAAGUUAAUAAAGAAUAAAGAAUAUUUAAGGCUU